GAAUGGGCUGGAUUUUUUUACAGCUCAGCAGGUACUCCAGACCCUAGAUGAGUUCAAUAUGGUCCAAGGCAGCCGGUCCAAGAGGCUAGAGCCCAAGAAUUGAAGGCCCCAAGGCCUUGUUUCCAAGAACGAGCCCAAUAAAGGCUUGCCAAGCCUAAACCGAGAGGGCCAGAGAAGUGUGGCUGCUGCCCAAGAAGAAGCCCGAGGUUCUACUAAGCCCGGUCUUGACCCAAGCCCACCAUGGCUGAGAGAACCCAAAGAGAAGGAGGCCUGCUCGCAUG
Molecule: long non-coding RNA, 281 nt
Filed under: Carica papaya (papaya)
Lineage: Eukaryota; Viridiplantae; Streptophyta; Magnoliopsida; Brassicales; Caricaceae
Description: long non-coding RNA (CPAP_LNC013431)
Source: RNAcentral